RNAcentral lists this ribosomal RNA (497 nucleotides) under uncultured bacterium. RNAcentral's name for it is "partial 16S ribosomal RNA". It matches the Rfam family "Bacterial small subunit ribosomal RNA", at positions 28 to 507 of the family's 1533-position model. The record is from RNAcentral.
GACGAACGCUGGCGGCGUGCCUAAUACAUGCAAGUUGAGCGAUGAAGCUUGGUGCUUGCACCAAUUUGAAGAGCAGCGAACGGGUGGGUAACGCGUGGGGAAUCUGCCUUUGAGCGGGGGACAACAUUUGGAAACGAAUGCUAAUACCGCAUAACAACUUUAAACAUAAGUUUUAAGUUUGAAAGAUGCAAUUGCAUCACUCAAAGAUGAUCCCGCGUUGUAUUAGCUAGUUGGUGAGGUAAAGGCUCACCAAGGCGAUGAUACAUAGCCGACCUGAGAGGGUGAUCGGCCACAUUGGGACUGAGACACGGCCCAAACUCCUACGGGAGGCAGCAGUAGGGAAUCUUCGGCAAUGGACGAAAGUCUGACCGAGCAACGCCGCGUGAGUGAAGAAGGUUUUCGGAUCGUAAAACUCUGUUGGUAGAGAAGAACGUUGGUGAGAGUGGAAAGCUCAUCAAGUGACGGUAACUACCCAGAAAGGGACGGCUAACUACGUG